RNAcentral lists this long non-coding RNA (819 nucleotides) under Ananas comosus (pineapple). RNAcentral describes it as "long non-coding RNA (ACOM_LNC020161)". The record is from RNAcentral. Lineage: Eukaryota; Viridiplantae; Streptophyta; Magnoliopsida; Poales; Bromeliaceae.
UUCAUCUUUAUUUAUUUUUUUGGAUUAAUUGCAUAUAGGUCCCUACAAAUAUAGUAAAUUACAAAUAUUUUUCUACAAACUUUAAUUUUUAUAUAUUAUUCCUGUAAGUUCUAAUAUUUUCAAAUAUCUUCCUACUGUUAUGAUCCAUUAGAAAAUUUUAGUUAACCAUAGAUUAAAUACUUAACUCUAAUUAAUUAAUGAGGUAAUUUGUCAUUUUUACUCUUCUUAUAUUAUACUUUCUUCUCUCAAUCAAAACCCUAGCAAUGAAAAUUCUUCUUCUUUCUCUUCCUCUCUCUACUUCAUGGUAAUUUCGAACUUAUAACUAGAAUUUCUCAAUCUCCAUUCAUCCAAGAUGCGUGGUGCUUUGCCCAUAUCAAAUGCGUGUUGCUUUCCCCAUUUAAUUUUCUCUAUAAUCUUUUUCUCAAAAAAAGAUUUAGAAAAAAAAGAGUGAGAAAAAAGUUGCAAUAAUAGUGAAAUGGGUUGGAUUUUAAAAAGAAAGAAGAUGAGGAAGAAGAUGACCAUUGAAAAUUUUUUGAGGGGACAUUUCUGUACGAUUAUAGCUAUUGUGGCUUUUGAAGGAAUAAAUUUAUGAUGGCAAAAUUAAUAUUUCACUUAUCUGCUAUUAAAAUAUAAACAGUUCUCUAACGAUAACAAACCAUAGUGUCAUAUUUAAAAAUAUUAAAACUUUUGUAGAAACAACGUAUAAAAGUUGAACUUUAUAAGACAUUAUUUACAAUUCACUAUAAUUGUAGGGACCUAUAUCCAAUUAACCCUAUUUUCUUUAUUGAAACUCCUUUAAUAUUGGAAUAAUAUCUAAUA